RNAcentral lists this ribosomal RNA (635 nucleotides) under Tambourissa elliptica. RNAcentral describes it as "eukaryotic LSU rRNA". The stretch from base 315 to 470 matches the Rfam family "5.8S ribosomal RNA". Lineage: Eukaryota; Viridiplantae; Streptophyta; Magnoliopsida; Laurales; Monimiaceae. The record is from RNAcentral.
GUGAACCUGCGGAAGGAUCAUUGUCGCAGACCAGAGCCACCGGUGAACCAGUUCUGUCACACUAGAGUUUGCGCGGGUUGUGCAUCUGGGGCCCCGAACCAGCCUGACCCGGCGGGCGUCCCCGCGCGUCGAGGGCGCUUGGCCGAGUGGUGGCGGGGGCUUUAGGUGCCUGACCGAGCGAGCGGACACCUUUUGGGCGCGGCGUGCGCCAAGGACUUGAAGCGGACUGUGCGGCGUCCCCUCCCGGUGCCUCGCCCCGUCGGGCGUGGCUCGCGCGUGGGGUUCGGACCCGCGUCUCUGGAUCUAUAUAAGACGACUCUCGGCAACGGAUAUCUCGGCUCUCGCAUCGAUGAAGAACGUAGCGAAAUGCGAUACUUGGUGUGAAUUGCAGAAUCCCGUGAACCAUCGAGUCUUUGAACGCAAGUUGCGCCCGAGGCCACUCGGCCGAGGGCACGCCUGCCUGGGCGUCAUGCCACACCCAUCGCUCCCCCGCGUUCGACCGCUGCGGUCGGCCGGGAGGCGGAGAUUGGCCGCCCGUGCCCCGAUUCGGUGCGCGGUUGGCACAAAGAGCGGGGUCACGGUUUGGCACGACACGACGUGUGGUGGUUGAGAGGCGACUCGUCGCAGCUCGGACG